Long non-coding RNA from Melanaphis sacchari, 578 nucleotides. RefSeq lists it as uncharacterized. The transcript has 4 exons. NCBI's taxonomy places the organism in Eukaryota, Metazoa, Arthropoda, Insecta, Hemiptera, Aphididae. The record is from RefSeq and is a predicted model, not a curated record.
UUUCAGAACAAUAUUACAAUAAUUAUUAAUUAUACACGCGUGUAUUGCUUCAAGUUAUAAAUUUUCAACCGGCAAUCGUAAAAUUUCGUAAGUACACAGGUCGCUCGUUAAUUUUGUCUACCUCGAGUUUUUAUUAAUUUUAUACAAAUUUGUUUUUCAUAACUUGCACUUAUUUCUUUACAACGACACCCAUCCCGAUUACAUGGAAAAUGGCGCGUUUGACACCCGAUGAUCUGUUGUAUUUACUGCAAGUAUUCUUUAAUAAUUUUGAUAAAAAGCUGCUUAAUUCAAGCCAAUCAAGCAAUAAAAUUACUACUUGCUAUGAAUUAUAAACAAUCAACUUCCAUAAUGUUAGAUUAGUGGAUUCAGUUUGUUACAAUGUUUUUAUAUCAACACAACAGCAAUUUUUUGUCAUGACAAUAUUUGGAGAAUCCAUUUAUUUCUGAAAUAAUUCUACUGCCAACCACAAUGUAAAUCUAUUGUAAACUAUUUAAUUUAAUUUAUGUGUCAUGUAUGUUAUUUCAAUUGUAUAAAGGAGACAUACUAAUGAGUAAUAUUUUAUAAAAAUUAAAUAUACC